UUAUAUUGUCUUCGACAGGGAAGAUGACAUAAAAAUUAUGUUCAAUAGGAUUA
RNAcentral lists this small nucleolar RNA (53 nucleotides) under Homo sapiens (human). RNAcentral describes it as "small nucleolar RNA, C/D box 115-45 (SNORD115-45)". It matches the Rfam family "Small nucleolar RNA SNORD115", at positions 19 to 71 of the family's 82-position model. Rfam says of the family: HBII-52 is a member of the C/D class of snoRNAs, which contain the C (UGAUGA) and D (CUGA) box motifs. HBII-52 is encoded in a tandemly repeated array with another C/D snoRNA, HBII-85, in the Prader-Willi syndrome (PWS) region of chromosome 15. Lineage: Eukaryota; Metazoa; Chordata; Mammalia; Primates; Hominidae. The record is from RNAcentral.